Molecule: long non-coding RNA, 1013 nt
Filed under: Homo sapiens (human)
Lineage: Eukaryota; Metazoa; Chordata; Mammalia; Primates; Hominidae
Description: HSALNT0152708
Source: RNAcentral
GGGAUACAGCGCAUGCACCUCAUCAGUCAGGACACACAUCCUAGUUUGAAUAAUAAUAAUAAUAGGACUGUCUUCCUAUUUGUGCGCUACUCUCCUUCCUCUACUGAAAAGGAAACCAGCCUUUUCAGAGCCUUCCACUGAGAACCAGCAAGAAUCCACACCUGUCGCCCGUUCAUGAGGUAGUAUAAAUGGAACAGGAGCAAAUUCUUCACCUCCACAGUAACACAAAGUACAGAGGACGGGCCACGAGCUAGCUGACGAGAGGAAGUGGGUCUGAAGACCUGAGCUUCCACCAAAGGGCAAACAAUUCAGAACAACUCAGGAAACCCAGGCCCUGUGUUGCCUGAACUUCCCCAUUCUGCCCCCACCCCUGUUAAAUCAAAGCCAACAGCUACCUGAACUGACGGAGAAGCCAUCUCUGGGGAGGAAGCUGAGAGGCUCUGGGCUGUGGCAGUUACAGUGGCCCCCAGCCUUGCCCACCCAGAGGCUGUCACUACAUGCUCUGUCACAGCCAACCCACCCAACAGUUUUCUGGCUGAGACCACUUCUCCCCACUCCUCUCUAAGAACUAGAAAACUCCAGUCCAAAUCCCUCUAAACACUAUGGAAGGGCACCUUCCAGGUGCCUGAAGACACGGCACAGGGCUCAGGCUUGCCCGUCAUUCUCCCUGGGCCACCAGCACAACACGAUCCCACCACUCCCUACAAACACAAUGACGUGACCUGUCCCCCUCUAGAAAGGAUCAAGCCAUCCUCUCCAUCCUUUCCACUACACGGUGUAUUCCCCCAGGCAUCUUGGUCCGCCUCUAAGGAGCCCUCCUCCCUAACCACAGACUCAGGGUGCCAUGGCCAUCCCCAGGUGUGAUGUCCUUGGGGACAUCCAGUGCUCCCUCAACAUCAGCCCUAUAAGCUGUCCCCAGGGACAGUUCAAAUUUGAAUUCCCAAGGAGUUGAGGCAAGGCAGACUAGGAUAAUGCCCCAUCCCUACAGGCUCACCUCCAUUUGAAGCCAUCCC